UACGAAGGGUGCUAGCGUUGUUCGGAAUUACUGGGCGUAAAGCGCGCGUAGGCGGUCUAUCAAGUCAGAGGUGAAAGCCCUGGGCUCAACCCAGGAAUUGCCUUUGAAACUGAUCGACUUGAGUACUGGAGGGGAUAGCGGAAUUCCUAAUGUAGAGGUGAAAUUCGUAGAUAUUAGGAGGAACACCGGUGGCGAAGGCGGCUAUCUGGACAGUAACUGACGCUGAGGCGCGAAAGCGUGGGGAUCAAACAGG
RNAcentral lists this ribosomal RNA (253 nucleotides) under uncultured bacterium. RNAcentral describes it as "partial 16S ribosomal RNA". It matches the Rfam family "Bacterial small subunit ribosomal RNA", at positions 524 to 776 of the family's 1533-position model. The record is from RNAcentral.